This 1866-nucleotide ribosomal RNA is filed under the name marine metagenome. RNAcentral describes it as "bacterial LSU rRNA". It matches the Rfam family "Bacterial large subunit ribosomal RNA", at positions 1 to 1985 of the family's 2925-position model. The record is from RNAcentral.
UCAAGCGUGAGGUAAGAGCAUUUGGUGAAUGCCUUGGCAUAUACAGGCGAUGAAGGACGUGGCACGCUGCGAUAAGCGUGGGGGAGCCGUGAGCAGGCUUUGAUCCCACGAUUUCCGAAUGGGGGAACCCAUCCUCACUAUUUAAUUUCGCUGCUGAGCAAUCAGUGUCGGAGUUAAAUAGGAAGGAUAUCACUUAGCUGAAUAAAAUAGGCUUAGUGAAGCGAACCCGGAGAACUGAAACAUCUCAGUACCCGGAGGAAAAGACAUCAACCGAGAUUCCGUUAGUAGUGGCGAGCGAACGCGGACCAGGCCAGUGCCUGGUGUUUAAUUAGCAAAAGCUUCUGGAAAGUAGCGCCAUAGUGGGUGACAGCCCCGUAUGCGAAAAUGAAACAUCAGGACUUGAGUAGGGCGGGACACGUGUAAUCCUGUCUGAAUAUAGGGGGACCACCCUCUAAGCCUAAAUACUCGUAUAUGACCGAUAGCGAACUAGUACCGUGAGGGAAAGGUGAAAAGCACCCCGAUGAGGGGAGUGAAACAGUACCUGAAACCGAAUGCUUACAAUCAGUUGGAGCCUCUUUAUGGGGUGACAGCGUACCUCUUGUAUAAUGGGUCUGUGACUUAAUGUAUCAUGCAAGCUUAAGCCGUUAGGUGUAGGCGUAGCGAAAGCGAGUCUGAAUAGGGCGACUGAGUAUGAUGCAUUAGACCCGAAACCCGGCGAUCUAUGCAUGACCAGGUUGAAGGUGCGGUAACACGCACUGGAGGACCGAACCGUUCAAUGUUGAAAAAUUGUCGGAUGAGUUGUGCUUAGGGGUGAAAGGCCAAUCAAGCCGGGAAAUAGCUGGUUCUCCGCGAAAACUAUUGAGGUAGUGCCUCGGAUGUUUUCCGAUGGGGGUAGAGCACUGGAUGGAUGCGGGGGUCGCGAGAUCUACCAAUUCUAACCAAACUCCGAAUACCAUCGAGUUAGUCCGGGAGACAGACGGCGGGUGCUAACGUCCGUCGUCAAAAGGGAAACAGCCCUAACCUACAGCUAAGGUCCCCAAAUCAUAUCUAAGUGGUGAAGCAUGUGGGAUUUCCAAAACAACCAGGAGGUUGGCUUAGAAGCAGCCAUCCUUUAAAGAAAGCGUAACAGCUCACUGGUCUAAAUAAGAGAUCCUGCGGCGAAAAUGUAACGGGGCUAAAGAUAUGUACCGAAGCUUAGGGUGUGCAGCAAUGCACGCGGUAGCGGAGCGUUCCGUAGGCCGAUGAAGCGAUCUGGUAAUGGGUCGUGGAGGUAUCGGAAGUGCGAAUGCAGACAUGAGUAGCGAUAGGAGGGUGAGACACCCUCCCGCCGAAAGACCAAGGGUUCCUGCUUAAAGCUAAUCUGAGCAGGGUAAGCCGGCCCCUAAGACGAGCCCGAAGGGGGUAGUCGAUGGGAACCACGUUAAUAUUCGUGGGCCUGGUGGUGUGUGACGGAUCUCGUGAGUUGUAUCUCCUUAUUGGAUUGGAGGUGCUUCGAAGAGGUUCCAGGAAAUAGCCCCACCGUAUAGACCGUACCCGAAACCGACACAGGUGGUCAGGUAGAGUAUACCAAGGCGUUUGAGAGAAGUAUCCUGAAGGAACUCGGCAAAUUGCCUCCGUACCUUCGGAAGAAGGAGGCCCUCACAUUGCGCAAGCAGUAUGAGGGGGCACAGGCCAGGGGGUAGCGACUGUUUAGCAAAAACACAGGACUCUGCUAAGUCGGCUUCAAGACGACGUAUAGGGUCUGACGCCUGCCCGGUGCUGGAAGGUUAAGAGGAGGAGUGCAAGCUCCGAAUUGAAGCCCCAGUAAACGGCGGCCGUAACUAUAACGGUCCUAAGGUAGCGAAAUUCCUUGUCGGGUAAGUUCCG